AGAGUUUGAUCCUGGCUCAGGAUGAACGCUGGCGGCAUGCCUAAUACAUGCAAGUCGAACGAAGCUGAUUGGAAGCUUGCUUCUGAAAGGCUUAGUGGCGAACGGGUGAGUAACACGUAGGGAACCUGCCCAGAUCACGGGGAUAACGGUUGGAAACGACAGCUAAGACCGGAUAGGUGAUGACGAGGCAUCUUGUCAUCAUGAAAAGAGCUACGGCUCUGGAGCUGGAUGGACCUGCGGCGCAUUAGCUAGUUGGUGAGGUAACGGCCCACCAAGGCGAUGAUGCGUAGCCGGCCUGAGAGGGCGAACGGCCACAUUGGGACUGAGACACGGCCCAAACUCCUACGGGAGGCAGCAGUAGGGAAUUUUCGUCAAUGGGGGGAACCCUGAACGAGCAAUGCCGCGUGAGUGAAGAAGGUCUUCGGAUCGUAAAGCUCUGUUGUAAGAGAAAAACGGCCGCCAUAGGGAAUGAUGGCGGAGUGAUGGUAUCUUACCAGAAAGCCACGGCUAACUACGUGCCAGCAGCCGCGGUAAUACGUAGGUGGCGAGCGUUAUCCGGAAUCAUUGGGCGUAAAGGGUGCGCAGGUGGUACAUUAAGUCCGAAGUAAAAGGCAGCAGCUCAACUGCUGUUGGCUUUGGAAACUGGUGAACUGGAGUGCAGGAGAGGGCGAUGGAAUUCCAUGUGUAGCGGUAAAAUGCGUAGAUAUAUGGAGGAACACCAGUGGCGAAGGCGGUCGCCUGGCCUGCAACUGACACUGAGGCACGAAAGCGUGGGGAGCAAAUAGGAUUAGAUACCCUAGUAGUCCACGCCGUAAACGAUGAGAACUAAGUGUUGGGGAGACUCAGUGCUGCAGUUAACGCAAUAAGUUCUCCGCCUGGGGAGUAUGCACGCAAGUGUGAAACUCAAAGGAAUUGACGGGGGCCCGCACAAGCGGUGGAGUAUGUGGUUUAA
RNAcentral lists this ribosomal RNA (952 nucleotides) under Merdibacter massiliensis. RNAcentral describes it as "bacterial SSU rRNA". It matches the Rfam family "Bacterial small subunit ribosomal RNA", at positions 8 to 949 of the family's 1533-position model. The record is from RNAcentral. Lineage: Bacteria; Bacillati; Bacillota; Erysipelotrichia; Erysipelotrichales; Erysipelotrichaceae.